CUCAUGCCUGUAAUCCUAGCACUUUGGGAGGCCAAGGAGGGUGGAUUGCCUGAGUUCAGGAGUUUGAGACCAGCCUGAGCAACACGGUGAAACCCCGUCUCUACUAAAAUACAAAAAAGAAAUUAGCUGGGUAUGGCGGCAUGUGCCUGUAGUCCCAGCUACUUGGGAGUCUGAGGCGGGAGAAUUGCUUGAACCCGGGAGAUGGAGGUUGCAAUGAGCCAAGAAUGCACCACUGCACUCCAGCCUGAGCAACAGAGCAAGACUCCAUCUCCAAAAAUAAAAAUAAAAAUAAACUGGUUUGGGGGCUGCAAAAUACUAUCUCAUAGUAGUUAAAGCAGCCACGUAAGACUCUGGGUCUUCGCCAGAGCCACAGGGACUCUGUGGAAAGGAAAGCCCCCUUUCCUUCCUUAGACCUUCCAUGCUUACCUCCACCUCCAUAUUUCUCCUCUUUCUCCAACAGGAACAAGCUCAGCUGGGAGUGAGCAAUGAAAGGCAGGUCCAGCCCUUUCACCAUGGCUGCAGUUGGAAGCAAACAAGUGAAUUUGACACAAGGCGUGACCACUGGAAGAAGAAACCCAAAGAAGAUGGAGAAGGAAGGUUGACCAAGGGGAGCACCAGGAAAGAACUGGUGUCAUGGAGGCGAAGAAUGGAGAGUUACAGGGAAUGGCGGCAGGUGACAUUGAGUAAACCACCUAGAGGUUCCUGGGCAUCUUUUCCAUGGUUGUUUCAGUGAAAUGCAAGGGGUAGAAAUCAGAUGGUAGUGCUGGGUGCGGUGACUCACGCCUGUCAUCCCAGCACUUUGGGAGGUUGAGCCGGGCAGAUCACAAGAUCAGGCAAUUGAGACCAUCCUGACUAACACGGUGAAACCCCGUCUCUACUAAAAAUACAAGAAAAAAUUAGCUGGGCGUGGUGGCAGGCACCUGUAGUCCCAGCUACUUGGGA
RNAcentral lists this long non-coding RNA (942 nucleotides) under Macaca fascicularis (crab-eating macaque). RNAcentral's name for it is "lncRNA (ENSMFAG00000048101.1)". The record is from RNAcentral. Lineage: Eukaryota; Metazoa; Chordata; Mammalia; Primates; Cercopithecidae.